UGCCAAAUGUCCCAGCACCCUCCUGGGUGUGGCCGGCCUCCGCCUCCUGUCCCACUGCUGAGCUCCUGCUGCUGUGUCCCAGAGCCUCACAGCCCAGUUUGGGGGCAAAGAGCUGCUGACGGGGGCUUCAUGUGAACAGACUCACAGUGAGCAGGUCAAACCAAGGCAAGGAGGCGCUCGCUCUCUCUCUCUCUCUCGCUCUCUCUCUCUCUCUCUCUCUCUCACACACACACACACACACACACAGCUUCACCCAACACUAAAAUUACCUCUAUUACCUUGGUCCUUUUGGUCAUCCUCCUCGUCUGUCCCAAGCUAGGGACACCAAUCCCCUGCCCCCACCCUGAAUUGCCUUCCUGAAGCUUCAAGUGACCUUAGCUCUGACCUGAAGCAAACUGCCAAAGGGGGUCCCAGGGACUCCCCUCAGCACAGGCCAUGGCACUGGGGUCUCAUGGGGUGAGCUGCAGCUGGGGACCCAGCUCAGCCUGGGGAGCUGGUCCCACCCGGGUCCCAGGCCUACUCCAACCCGCUCCUCCCCAACAGGCAAGAGAUUCACACUUUCCAGAGUUUGGCAACAAAUUAAAAUCCCAACCCAACAAAACAGGAGUGGGUAGAGGGAGAGGAGAGCAAAUGAAAUGUUACCAAAAAAAAAAAA
RNAcentral lists this long non-coding RNA (655 nucleotides) under Marmota monax (woodchuck). Lineage: Eukaryota; Metazoa; Chordata; Mammalia; Rodentia; Sciuridae. The record is from RNAcentral.